This 254-nucleotide ribosomal RNA is filed under the name uncultured bacterium. RNAcentral's name for it is "partial 16S ribosomal RNA". It matches the Rfam family "Bacterial small subunit ribosomal RNA", at positions 524 to 776 of the family's 1533-position model. RNAcentral also lists the same sequence under 1 other name. The record is from RNAcentral.
UACGUAGGGGGCGAGCGUUGUCCGGAUUUAUUGGGCGUAAAGAGCUCGUAGGCGGUUUGGUAAGUUGGAUGUGAAAUCUCCAGGCUCAACUUGGAGGGGUCAUUCGAUACUGCCAUGACUAGAGUUCGGUAGGGGAGUGUGGAAUUCCUGGUGGAGCGGUGAAAUGCGCAGAUAUCAGGAGGAACACCCGUAGCGAAGGCGGCACUCUGGGCCGGAACUGACGCUGAGGAGCGAAAGCGUGGGGAGCGAACAGG